AUAGCUCGAUUGAUUUACUUUGCUGUGAGA
This 30-nucleotide ribosomal RNA is filed under the name Rickettsia monacensis. RNAcentral's name for it is "partial 23S ribosomal RNA". The record is from RNAcentral. Lineage: Bacteria; Pseudomonadati; Pseudomonadota; Alphaproteobacteria; Rickettsiales; Rickettsiaceae.